CGAAAGGGAUGCUAAUACCGCAUACGUCCUACGGGAGAAAGCAGGGGACCUUCGGGCCUUGCGCUAUCAGAUGAGCCUAGGUCGGAUUAGCUAGUUGGUGGGGUAAUGGCUCACCAAGGCGACGAUCCGUAACUGGUCUGAGAGGAUGAUCAGUCACACUGGAACUGAGACACGGUCCAGACUCCUACGGGAGGCAGCAGUGGGGAAUAUUGGACAAUGGGGGCAACCCUGAUCCAGCCAUGCCGCGUGUGUGAAGAAGGCCUUUUGGUUGUAAAGCACUUUAAGCGAGGAGGAGGCUACCGAGAUUAAUACUCUUGGAUAGUGGACGUUACUCGCAGAAUAAGCACCGGCUAACUCUGUGCCAGCAGCCGC
This 372-nucleotide ribosomal RNA is filed under the name uncultured Isochrysis. RNAcentral's name for it is "partial Bacterial small subunit ribosomal RNA". It matches the Rfam family "Bacterial small subunit ribosomal RNA", at positions 152 to 518 of the family's 1533-position model. The record is from RNAcentral. Lineage: Eukaryota; Haptophyta; Isochrysidales.